Alligator mississippiensis (American alligator) is the source of this 5245-nucleotide long non-coding RNA. RefSeq lists it as uncharacterized. Lineage: Eukaryota; Metazoa; Chordata; Crocodylia; Alligatoridae. The record is from RefSeq and is a predicted model, not a curated record. The transcript is spliced from 3 exons.
GAUUCAGGGCUGUCCAUAUAAACAGGGCAGUUCUGCUGCUGGAUUCUGGGCAACGACACUGUCUGGAGGGCGCUGAAACUCUCCUAUCACUUACAACAGCAGUUCCCAAUCUGCGGUACAGGAACCACCAGUGGUAUGCAGACAACCUGUCAGUGCUGCCUGCUACAGGUGAAGAGGGUUAAAAAUCAGUCACAAAUGCCUGAAAUCUCCCUACACCCAGUUUUUGAUGACAUGCACUCAGUGGGGAAAAAAGCAGGUGCUGAGCAGAACACUGAAAUGGCUGAACCUAGAAUUAAGGGUUUGUGAAGAGGGAGAUUAGCAUUAACAGCCCUUGCCUUUACAUUUCAAUUCCUAUACAUCCCAGGUUCCUGUAACUGCCCCUCCUGUAAAAACUUGGGGUUUCCAAUAACCUCGGAUACCUAUGAUCUGCCCAGGGAUGUAGAUAAUAGUGUUUAGUGGAACAAUGGAUAGACCUGCCAUGAAGUUUCACCAUAGCAAAUACUGCCAACCCAGUAUAAGCUGGGGAAGAAAGAUGGGUGCGAGGUUCCUGCACUGUUUUUGAAUAGCUCCCAUUAACACCUCCUCUCUUGUAAAAACUUGACUUUUUUAGGCUUUUGGGGAUUACCCCUGAAAUCUGUCAAACAUUCCCUGUUUAAAAGGCAGGCGCUGAGCAGAAGACUGAAUGAAUGAAUCCUGACUUUUUUUUUUUUCUCCUGCUGCAAACCAAAUAGACUCCUGGAGCACAGUUGAGUGAUUGAUAGGUUGGACAGUGUUGCUGGGGAGGGGAUGUAUGCUUGAAGGGCCAGAAGCAAUUCCUUUUAAGUUGCAUCACAAGCUGCUAGGCAAUGGCUUUGGGGUAUGUGUGGCAGCAAGUCAUUAAGAACUAUCCUUUUGGACAAUGGGUCAUCUGGGGGACAAUUUGGGGCAGGCUAUGGAUUUCAAAGGUGGUCUGCUAGGAAAGGUCACGUGAGCAGAUUUGUAUGAGUGCUGGUACUGAGACACAGUUCACACCUGCAUAGGUAUGCAUAUGUGGAAAGUCAGACCCGCAUGAAAAGGUUCCAUAACCAUGUUUCUAACUGCUUUCAGCCAGAUGUAGAAAGCAUCUUGCAACUCUGGUCCGAGCAUAGUGACCUGCCUCUCAGUGACUCAUUUUGGCCCUGAAAAUACACUCAGUGGAGGUGCCAAAGAACAAGUUGUGUCUGCCAGGCUUGGAGCAGCAGCCAGAUGCAUCUUAAAGCCAUGUCCCCAACUGGGCCUAGACAAAAAUGGAAGAUUUGAUUGAUAUUUGUGGGGGACCAAAAGGUUCUUGUGUAGCUGGAAAACUGACAAAACAAGCCAGUGUAUGCAUCCAUUGCUAAGGAAAUGAAGGAUUACAGCCACAACCGGGACUGGACACCGUGCCACAAGAAGAUGAAUGCCCUGAAAAGUGCUUUUCAUCAGGCCAAGGACCAGAAUUCUCAUUCAGGAGCCAGAUGCACAGUAGUCCCAUUCUAUGAGCAGCUGUCCUGCACUCUCAUGAAGGAUGCAGGUGAGGCUUGCCUCUGAUCCUUUGGCAUGAUGGGGUUGCAGGAUGCCACAGCAUCACCUAGCCCAUAAGAGUCCACAGACUGUCCUGCCACUGCAUGGAGCAGUGCUAUAUGAAUUGCAUAGCCUUCAGGUAACCAGUUGGAGGUGGGGGGUGAGUGCUUGCAGCAGCUGCAGGGCGGGGAGAACCAAGAUGAAGUUGUCUUGACCAUGACCCCCCUCUCCCUGAUGCUUUUUCUGUAUAACCCAGAGGAGGAGGACACAUCAGAUUCCAUGAUGAUACAGUCCCCAGACUUGUGCAACACAAUUCCAGAGACCCAAAGAUUGGUGUUGGUGCUGGAGAUGCCCAAGGAUCCACUUUUUAAGUUACGGGGAAGGGGCAUUAGAUUGGUUUGGGUGACUAGGGCUUAUGUGAAUCUGGCCUCACUUUUGCAGUAGGGCCAAGCAUGGUGAAGCAGGAGGGAGGGCAUUAAUUUUGUAAGCAGCAGAUAUGCCCAUUGCCUGCAGUCACACAAUGUUUGGCUAACAUAGGGGUGGAUGUGCUGGGCCCUUUCUUAAAGUUGCUUAGGAGGUGGGGUGAAGCAUUAAUGCAUUUAGUGGCAGGAAUUUGUGCUGCUGAGGGAUGUACAAUUAACUCCUUAGUGGACUGGGGAGACAUCGGGGUUUCUGCUUAAUUAUUCUUUGUAGGUGGCUGUAUUAAUUCACCAAGUGGCAGGGAUGCUGCUUGGCAAUUGCCAGUAUGUUACAGGGAGUAAGGAUGAGGUAUUUGGUCACCAUGAACACCUUUUUCCCCCCAUUCCUGUUACCAGGUACUGCAUCCGCUGAAAUUUUGGGAUGCGUGCCCAAAGCGCAAACUAUUAUUUACAAAACAGAAAUUAGAGUAAAUUAAACCAACCACAGAACAACUUUAUAAGAUAAUGCAUAAUUACUACAUAACAGGAACUUAUUUUUACUACUGUAAAAGUGCAUGAGCUGUGGGGGGAGAAAAAAAUCAAUCAAAGCAAUAAUCAUUUCUAAUUAAAAGAACUUGGCUCCAAAUUGGACUUCCAGAGCUUGAUUGAGAACUUGUGGAUAACAGAAGGCAGAUCCAUACUGGCCUGUGCCACUGCCUGGCAGGAGCAGGGCCAAUGACCAGCAGGCAUAGAAUCAUUGCCAGGAGCCUGGUCAUUAUUUGCCAGUCCUGCUGGGUCUUGGAAUGCCUCCUGGACUCAGUUUGGUUCCUUUCCUUUCCAUGAAUCUGCCUCUCUCACCAUCUUGCACAGCCAGUGCUUGCAGUCCCUGAGGACAUUAACAAUCCUGUUGGUUAGUGUAUCAGCAGCAGCCUGCCUUGGUGCCCUGUGUGUCCUUAGCAGUGGCAUUGCAAGCAGAGCUGAAAAUCAAGAAAUGUGGGAAAUAGAGUGAAUUAAGGAUGCUUGGCACACUAUAAAGAUGCACUCAGUGAAUCUUGCAAGUAGAUAAGAAGCAGUUGACCCAAAAUGAGUGAGAAGGGGUGCCUGGCCUUGGGUGGUAGUAGUCCCUGACUGGCUGCAAACAAGUGCCCACCGAUGUGCUUCCCUGUUGUGGGUUGCCUUGCAUCUCUGUGCACAGCCCACUAAUUCCUAGGCUCUUUAAAGCACUGUCCUACACUGCCCACCUGCCCUGCCCCCUUUCUUCUCAUAGUCCAGCCUAAUUGUAGCUGUCAGGUCAGGUGACUUAAAAGGUCCCCAGGGCUUCACAUACUAGGUGUGGAGGUUGAGCUACAUGGUCUAUCCUCCUUGGAGGAAGUGGCAGGUGACCUGACUGAGCCCUUCUGCUAUCUUCUCCACUGGAGUCCCUGCAAGUCACAGUGAUAGUAGGCAAAGAUGCCCCAGAGACCUCUGUGCCUGUGCAUUUGCAGUGAUCUAGUACCUCCAUUAGCAGCUGGAGGUAUCUAUAAUGGGCCAUAUCAUGUAGUGGAGCUCCCUGCUACUGUGCUCUGCUGAAGGCAGCCCACAGCAUCUUUGCCUUGAGCCAGCACUGUAGUACCAUCUUGUGCCUCUGUUCACCCAUUCUCCUUGUAACAUCAAGGUAGAUGUUCCAGUUGUGUCCUCAGGUUGCAGAUAAACUGGUAUACCACCUCAGGGUCCCCAGGCACCCACACGAGGCUCUUUGUUUCAGUGAAGGUCCAAUUGGACCUAGACCUAUGCACCCUGUUUUGCUCUGUUCUCCCCUAAAUGUCAGACAUCUCAGAUCAAUAAGGAGUACUGGGGGGGGAGCGGUAUGCUCAAUUUAUAUGUCUAGAGGUGACAGGGCCAAGGGAAGUUCAUCACCCUCCUCCCCCACCUUGUGUUUGGGUAAAGUGUUGAUAACAGACAUGCUGUACAGCUGUUACAACUUUUGGUGCCAGUCAGUGGCACUCACCUAGGACAUGCUGGCCCCAGGCAGGGUAAAGGCAGGGUGGGGGCCUCUGUCUGUACCAGUAGCAACUUUUGCUAUCUUAUGGGCAUGCUUGUUCUGGAUGUGUUUUAGCCCUGCUAGGUCCUUUAGCCCUGUAUAUGCCAUGGCACAGUAGCAGGCUUCCCAGUGACCCACCAUGUGUCAAAACACCACUCCCAACAGGACAGGAUCUGAAAUGCUGAGGAGUUCAGACAGAGCUGGUGAGGGAAUGAUUUGCUUACAGAACUCACCUGCUAUUCAUAAAGUGGGUGUUCUUAAGGCUCAUGAUCGGAUUCACAGAACUCCACUUGUCAGGUUUACAUAAAAUUGGUGAGUGAAUUAAUGGUGUUAGGGGGAUAAUUAUGCCACAGCCAGCUGAAAAGGGAUGUUUUGGAGGUGCAGGGUAUGGAGGUGCAGGUGUUCACUAGGGCUGUUGCUGGGCAAAGUCUGGGGAUUUUUGCUGUGUGUGCAAGACCUAGGCUCUGCAACUUGCAAGUUUUGGCACCAGUCAACUGGGACAUAGCUGGCAGCAGGCAGGAUCAAGGCAGGGAGCGGGGCUCUGUCUGCACCAGUGGCAACUUCUGGUAUCUUAUGGGCAUGCUUGUUCUAGAUGUGUUUUUGCUCUGCUAGGUCCUUUAGCCCUGUGUUUGCCAUAGCACAGUAGCAGGCUGCCAAGUGACCCAUGUGCCAAGUCACUGCUCCUAGGAGAACAUGGUUCCUGUAACCACCCCUUCUCUAAAAACUUGGCGUUUUUGGGAAUUACUCCUGAAAGCCAUCAAGUGCUCAGCGGAAAAAAGGCAGGUGCUUAGCAGAAGACUGAAUGGAAUUGAACCCCAAAUCACAAGGGUAGCCAGUCACCCCUCCUGGCCAGAAGCAUCCCCCCCACACCAAAACCACAGCAGUACCCCUACAAGGGAGCCACUGCCCCCCUCCAACAGGAGCUACCACCCAAAGGAACUUUGAGGGCCCAUUAAACUCCUACUAGCUGCUAAAUGGUGAGAGCAGAACCCACCCAACUUGGCCAGCCCUCGCUUGCCCUAUUACAAUUUUUUGCACCAGUCAGCAGCGUGUUCACCCAGCAGGGUUAGGCUUCUUUACACCAGGCAUGGCACAUCAGCUGUGGGGGAAGCCUUGCUGCACCAUCCCUGAACCCCCCAAAAUCCCUGUACGUGCAUGGCACAACAGCAGGAUACACGCUGACCCAUGUGUCAAGACACUGCUCCCAGGGGCCCCUGGCCACCUGAUAGACUGAGUGACCAGCUGCCCACCUGGGAGUCUGCCUGACCCCUCCCCACUGUGGGGAGGCACAAGCCUUAGGUCUGGCUUG